This 942-nucleotide ribosomal RNA is filed under the name Triticum aestivum (bread wheat). Its description in RNAcentral is "partial small subunit ribosomal RNA". The record is from RNAcentral. Lineage: Eukaryota; Viridiplantae; Streptophyta; Magnoliopsida; Poales; Poaceae.
AUGAGCAUGGCGGCGACGGCGGCCACGGCCACGGCGUGGCCCUCCACCUCCUCCUCUGUCCUCGCCCCCCGCACCCGCCACCACGUCACUCCCAGCCCCCGCGCCCUCCGCUCCGGCUUCCUCGGCCGCGCCCUCACCCUGGCCGCCGCCACCGACCGCCCCUCCUCCGUCUCCAUCUCCGUGCGCGCGGCCUGGGACGGGCCGCUCUCCUCGGCGCGCCUCAUCAUGCAGGGCCGCAACGUCAAGCUGACGGAGAAGCUCAAGGAGCACAUCGAGGACAAGGUGGGGCGCGCGGUGCACAACCACGCGCACCUGGUGCGGGAGGUGGACGUGCGCCUCUCCGCCCGCGGCGGCGACCUCAGCAAGGGCCCCAAGCUCUCCCGCUGCGAGGUCACGCUCUUCACCAGGCGCCACGGCGUCGUGCGCGCCGAGGAGGAGGAGGAGUCAUCCUACGCCUCCAUCGACGCCGCCGCCGCCGUCGUCAAGCGCAAGCUGCGCAAGAUCAAGGAGAAGGAGACGGACGUGCGCCACCUCAAGGGCACCAAGGAGUGGCAGUCCUCCGGGCUGUCCGAUGUCGAAGAUGAAUCGGAGGCAGAGGAGGAGGAGGAGGACGACGAGCUGGUCGAGGUCAUCGGCGCCGAGGACGAGGAGAGCGUGCUCACCAAGGCUCUGAUGUGUGAGCCCAUCAACUAUGUUGUUGGUUUGCAGGUUGUGCGCACCAAGGUGUUCGAGAUGGCGCCGCUGACGGUGGACGAGGCGCUGGAGCAGCUCGAGAACGUCGACCAUGACUUCUACGCCUUCAGGAACGAGCAGACAGGGGAGGUGAACAUCCUGUACAAGAGGAAUGAGGGAGGGUUUGGGCUCAUCAUCCCCAAGCAGGACGGCCACGUCGACAAGGCCACCGUCAAUGCCAAGGAGAAGGAGCACCCCGUCGCCGGCUGA